Molecule: long non-coding RNA, 720 nt
Organism: Drosophila subpulchrella
Lineage: Eukaryota; Metazoa; Arthropoda; Insecta; Diptera; Drosophilidae
Exons: 2
Source: RefSeq, a predicted model, not a curated record
AGGGCACCUUAGAGGAUGUAGCGCAGCGGUUGUUUUAAGGGUGGAGUCUGAUGAGACUUCACAGGUAGGGUGGGUAUAGAAGGUGGCCAAUAACAUCUGGGCCUCCGUCUUCGAUAGACCCACACCCAUCUCCCUGAGCAGGGUCUGUUCGUGCAAAAGCGGUGUGGAAUUUAAAAAUUAAAAUAUGAAAGAAAAACCCAAAAAACGCCUAAAGUGCAGAAGAAAAAGGACGCCUAAUCCAAGCUGUGGGAUUGUGGGAUUUCAACGACAGGAAGCAAUACCACGACAGGGAAAAUCAGGAGAAUAGUUGAAGUGCUGGAGGAGAUCCACUAGAGAAUCCCAGUGGAAAGGUACAUGCCGAGUGGGACUUCGCCCGAUCUCCGACGAGCUUCCAUUGAGGAAGCACCGAACUCCACCUCCAACAGCUACUUGGCAGCUAAAGCGGAGAUGGAGGACGCGCCAGCUUCUAUAGGGAGGAGGAAAUAAGGUCGCCCGCUGAGGGACAACUGGAGGAGCCAUCACCAGCCGUUACCAGGAUGCUGGGCGACUUCGAGCAGCAUCAGGCGGAACAACCCCGUUUCCAAUCCGGCUCCCACUUCCUCAAGGUCCAGUUUGCCUAUUGGAAUUCGGAGCUGGACUGCAGAUGGAAAGAUGAGACGAGAAAAAAGCUUAAAACUACUAAUUUACUUUAAAAAAACAUUUGUUGAACAUUCCAUUUAA